AAAUUGAAGAGUUUGAUCAUGGCUCAGAUUGAACGCUGGCGGCAGGCCUAACACAUGCAAGUCGAACGGUAACAGGAAGCAGCUUGCUGCUUUGCUGACGAGUGGCGGACGGGUGAGUAAUGUCUGGGAAACUGCCUGAUGGAGGGGGAUAACUACUGGAAACGGUGGCUAAUACCGCAUAAUGUCGCAAGACCAAAGAGGGGGACCUUCGGGCCUCUUGCCAUCAGAUGUGCCCAGAUGGGAUUAGCUUGUUGGUGAGGUAACGGCUCACCAAGGCGACGAUCCCUAGCUGGUCUGAGAGGAUGACCAGCCACACUGGAACUGAGACACGGUCCAGACUCCUACGGGAGGCAGCAGUGGGGAAUAUUGCACAAUGGGCGCAAGCCUGAUGCAGCCAUGCCGCGUGUAUGAAGAAGGCCUUCGGGUUGUAAAGUACUUUCAGCGGGGAGGAAGGUGUUGCGGUUAAUAACCGCAGCAAUUGACGUUACCCGCAGAAGAAGCACCGGCUAACUCCGUGCCAGCAGCCGCGGUAAUACGGAGGGUGCAAGCGUUAAUCGGAAUUACUGGGCGUAAAGCGCACGCAGGCGGUCUGUCAAGUCGGAUGUGAAAUCCCCGGGCUCAACCUGGGAACUGCAUUCGAAACUGGCAGGCUUGAGUCUUGUAGAGGGGGGUAGAAUUCCAGGUGUAGCGGUGAAAUGCGUAGAGAUCUGGAGGAAUACCGGUGGCGAAGGCGGCCCCCUGGACAAAGACUGACGCUCAGGUGCGAAAGCGUGGGGAGCAAACAGGAUUAGAUACCCUGGUAGUCCACGCCGUAAACGAUGUCUACUUGGAGGUUGUGCCCUUGAGGCGUGGCUUCCGGAGCUAACGCGUUAAGUAGACCGCCUGGGGAGUACGGCCGCAAGGUUAAAACUCAAAUGAAUUGACGGGGGCCCGCACAAGCGGUGGAGCAUGUGGUUUAAUUCGAUGCAACGCGAAGAACCUUACCUGGUCUUGACAUCCACAGAACUUUCCAGAGAUGGAUUGGUGCCUUCGGGAACUGUGAGACAGGUGCUGCAUGGCUGUCGUCAGCUCGUGUUGUGAAAUGUUGGGUUAAGUCCCGCAACGAGCGCAACCCUUAUCCUUUGUUGCCAGCGGUCCGGCCGGGAACUCAAAGGAGACUGCCAGUGAUAAACUGGAGGAAGGUGGGGAUGACGUCAAGUCAUCAUGGCCCUUACGACCAGGGCUACACACGUGCUACAAUGGCGCAUACAAAGAGAAGCGACCUCGCGAGAGCAAGCGGACCUCAUAAAGUGCGUCGUAGUCCGGAUUGGAGUCUGCAACUCGACUCCAUGAAGUCGGAAUCGCUAGUAAUCGUGGAUCAGAAUGCCACGGUGAAUACGUUCCCGGGCCUUGUACACACCGCCCGUCACACCAUGGGAGUGGGUUGCAAAAGAAGUAGGUAGCUUAACCUUCGGGAGGGCGCUUACCACUUUGUGAUUCAUGACUGGGGUGAAGUCGUAACAAGGUAACCGUAGGGGAACCUGCGGUUGGAUCACCUCCUUACCUUAAAGAAGC
This 1554-nucleotide ribosomal RNA is filed under the name Salmonella enterica subsp. enterica. Its description in RNAcentral is "bacterial SSU rRNA". It matches the Rfam family "Bacterial small subunit ribosomal RNA". Lineage: Bacteria; Pseudomonadati; Pseudomonadota; Gammaproteobacteria; Enterobacterales; Enterobacteriaceae. The record is from RNAcentral.